GGAAUAUUGGGCAAUGGACGAGAGUCUGACCCAGCCAUGCCGCGUGCAGGAAGACGGCGUUCUGCGUUUUAAACUGCUUUUAUCUGGGAAGAAAAGGCCCAUGCGUGGGACAUUGCCGGUACGAGCUGAAUAAGCACGGGCUAACUCCGUGCCAGCAGCCGCGGUAAUACGGAGGGUGCAAGCGUUGUCCGGAUUUAUUGGGUUUAAAGGGUGCGUAGGCUGCUAUUUAAGGCAGCGGUGAAAGACAUCGGCUCAACCGAUGCAGUGCCAUUGAUACUGGAUAGCUUGAGUGUUGGAGGGGUACAUGGAAUUGAUGGUGUAGCGGUGAAAUGCAUAGAUACCAUCAGGAACACCGAUAGCGAAGGCAUUGUACUGGCCAACAACUGACGCUGAGGCACGAAAGCAUGGGGAGCGAA
Molecule: ribosomal RNA, 416 nt
Filed under: uncultured bacterium
Lineage: Bacteria
Description: bacterial SSU rRNA
Rfam family: Bacterial small subunit ribosomal RNA
Source: RNAcentral